CCUACGGGAGGUAGCAGUAGGGAAUCUUCCACAAUGGGCGAAAGCCUGAUGGAGCAACGCCGCGUGGGUGAAGAAGGUCUUCGGAUCGUGAAACCCUGUUGUUAGAGAAGAAAGUGCGUGAGAGUAACUGUUCACGUUUCGACGGUAUCUAACCAGAAAGCCACGGCUAACUACGUGCCAGCAGCCGCGGUAAUACGUAGGUGGCAAGCGUUAUCCGGAUUUAUUGGGCGUAAAGGGAACGCAGGCGGUCUUUUAAGUCUGAUGGGAAAGCCUUCGGCUUAACCGGAGUAGUGCAUUGGAAACUGGGUGACUUGAGUGCGUAAGAGGAGAGUGGAACGCCAUGUGUAGCGGUGAAAUGCGUAGAUAGAUGGAAGAACACCAGUGGCGAAAGCGGCUCUCUGGUCUGUAACUGACGCUGAGGUUCGAAAGCGUGGGUAGCAAACAGGAUUAGAUACCCCAGUAGUC
This 465-nucleotide ribosomal RNA is filed under the name uncultured bacterium. RNAcentral describes it as "partial 16S ribosomal RNA". It matches the Rfam family "Bacterial small subunit ribosomal RNA", at positions 338 to 795 of the family's 1533-position model. The record is from RNAcentral.